Non-coding RNA from Pelobates cultripes (western spadefoot toad), 398 nucleotides. NCBI's taxonomy places the organism in Eukaryota, Metazoa, Chordata, Amphibia, Anura, Pelobatidae. The record is from the annotation of a GenBank genome assembly.
AGUGUAAAAUGACUGACCACUUGCUGGAUGCCAGCUUUCCUUUGUGUAGAUGUAUUGUAUGUGCUAUAACAGAUUGUAGAUGGACACACAGCGUGUAGGGUUGCAUAGUUCACAGAUUCAUAGUAUCACUGCAUUGGGUUAUAGGGAUGUAUGAUGCUUACAGGGUCCCUUAAACCCUUCACUACUGAGCGCUUCUUGAUUGAGAAAUAAUGUUAGCAUUACAUUUAUGUGACGCAAAGGAUGCGUAGCUAGCAUAUAAACAUAUAACGCAGCAAUUUUAUGUAUAUAGGUUGCUUUGCAGACAAAAUCAAAAUUAUGUCAAUGAACACAUUUUAUUUUUUACUUAUUCAGCCUGUAUAAAAAUACAUUAGAGAAUAUACAGUGUCCUUUAUUUUGCA